This 1149-nucleotide small RNA is filed under the name Pan troglodytes (chimpanzee). Its description in RNAcentral is "retained intron". The record is from RNAcentral. Lineage: Eukaryota; Metazoa; Chordata; Mammalia; Primates; Hominidae.
AUGCGCAUAACCUCAGGAUAUAAAUAAUGCUGAAGCAGAGUUACGUUUUUUUGUUUUUUUUUUUUUUAGGUUUCCGUAUGUUUCUAUUGAGCUGCUCAGUGCCCGGCUUAGAAGACCAGGAAAAGGAGUCACAGGUCGUAUGUUGGAGGCUUGAGCCGCGGCACCAUGGCGCGGCUCGCCUCGCUGCGGUUGGUGGUGGCGGUGGACAUUGCAGCGCAGCUGGAGGGGUGAGAUAUUCCUGCACAUCCUCUGGUGACCCCAGAAUGAGGGGGACUCGCUGGUGAAUUGCCUCGGGCUUCACAUCCAGUACAGGCUGGGUCCCCGUGGUCGCCAAGCCUCCUGCCUGCUCAAUGAUGUAGGCCACGGGAUUGCAUUCAUACAGGAGCCGGAGCUGUGGAGGAACAGAGGCAGGACAAAUUCACCAAGAGCCUAGCAACAUGAAGAGAGAUGCCAGGAAGAAGAGAGAAGCCAGGAAACAGAAGCCAACCGCACGAUCCCCACAUCAGAGCAGGAGAAGAUGGGGGCUUGCUGGCAGAGCUGGGGCUUGGCUGUGGUCACUCUGAGCCUGCUCUUUGGUGUUUUCAUGAGUGGUGGGAAGAAUAGGGACCAUAUGGAGCCCACACAGGAAGCUCUAGCAGUAACAGCAAGCAGGAAGACAAUUCUAAGGAAGCAGCCCAUAGUCUUCUUUCUUUUCCUUUGCAUCUUCCACUGUCAGUGAGACUCCUCAUUUAUGGUGAACCCAACUGUGUGUAUCUCCCAAGUUCUCACCCCCAGAUUAAUGUUUUCAGGAAGAUAGGCCAUCAACAGUGAGAGGAAGAAGUUACAUUGUUGUAUGAGGGAUGCAUUUUAACCAUUAAUUUGUGGUACAGGCUGGGCGCAGUGGCUUACACAUGUAAUCCCAGCACUUUGGGAGGCCGAGGUGGGUGGAUCACGAGGUCAGGAGAUCAAGACCAUCCUGGCUAACAUGGUGAAACCCCGUCUUUACUAAAUAUACAAAAAAUUGGCCGGGCGUGGUGGUGGGCACCUGUAGUCCCAGCUACUCGGGGGGCUGAGGCAGGAGAAUGGUGUGAACCCGGGAGGCGGAGCUUGCAGUGAGCCGAGAUCGUGCCACUGCACUCCAGCCUGGAUGACAGAGCAAGACUCCAUCUC